RNAcentral lists this ribosomal RNA (253 nucleotides) under uncultured bacterium. Its description in RNAcentral is "partial 16S ribosomal RNA". It matches the Rfam family "Bacterial small subunit ribosomal RNA", at positions 524 to 776 of the family's 1533-position model. The record is from RNAcentral.
UACGAAGGGUGCAAGCGUUGUUCGGAGUUACUGGGCGUAAAGAGUGCGUAGGCGGUGCUCUAAGUUUGGUGUGAAAUCUCCCGGCUCAACUGGGAGGGUGCGCCGAAAACUGGAGUGCUCGAGUAUGGGAGAGGUAAGCGGAAUUCCUGGUGUAGCGGUGAAAUGCGUAGAUAUCAGGAGGAACACCUGCGGUGUAGACGGCUUACUGGACCAUGACUGACGCUGAGGCACGAAAGCGUGGGGAGCAAACAGG